GAGGGGUGCGAGCGUUAUUCGGAUUUAUUGGGCGUAAAGGGUGCGUAGACGGCAAAUUAAGUCUGUUGUUAAAUUUUCCGGCCUAACCGGAAGUCAGCGGUGGAAACUGGUUUGCUAGAGGAUGGAAGAGAGAAGUGGAAUUCCCGGAGUAGCGGUAAAAUGCGUAGAUCUCGGGAGGAACACCAAUGGCGAAGGCAGCUUCUUGGUACAUUCCUGACGUUGAGGCACGAAAGCGUGGGUAGCAAACAGGAUUAGAUACCCUGGGUAGUCCACGCCGUAAACGAUGAUCACUAGAUGUUGGUUUGGCUUAGCCCGGAUCAGUAUCGUAGCUAACGCAUUAAGUGAUUCGCCUGGGGGACUACGGUCGCAAGACUA
This 375-nucleotide ribosomal RNA is filed under the name uncultured organism. RNAcentral describes it as "partial 16S ribosomal RNA". It matches the Rfam family "Bacterial small subunit ribosomal RNA", at positions 527 to 896 of the family's 1533-position model. The record is from RNAcentral.